GACGGAGCAAUNCCGCGUGAGGGAGGAAGGCUUUUGGGUUGUAAACCUCUUUUUUCAAGGAAGAAGUCCUGACGGUACUUGAAGAAUCAGCAUCGGCUAACUCCGUGCCAGCAGCCGCGGUAAUACGGAGGAUGCAAGCGUUAUCCGGAAUCAUUGGGCGUAAAGCGUCCGCAGGUGGCUUAUCAAGUCUGCUGUUAAAGACAGAAGCUCAACUUCUGAACAGCGGUGGAAACUGGUAGGCUAGAGUACGGUAGGGGUUGAGGGAAUUCCCAGUGUAGCGGUGAAAUGCGUAGAUAUUGGGAAGAACACCAGUGGCGAAGGCGCUCAACUGGGCCGUAAC
Molecule: ribosomal RNA, 340 nt
Filed under: uncultured cyanobacterium
Lineage: Bacteria; Bacillati; Cyanobacteriota
Description: bacterial SSU rRNA
Rfam family: Bacterial small subunit ribosomal RNA
Source: RNAcentral